Molecule: ribosomal RNA, 468 nt
Filed under: uncultured bacterium
Lineage: Bacteria
Description: partial 16S ribosomal RNA
Rfam family: Bacterial small subunit ribosomal RNA
Source: RNAcentral
GACGAACGCUGGCGGCGUGCUUAACACAUGCAAGUCGAACGGAAAGGCCCUGCUUUUGUGGGGUGCUCGAUUGGCGAACGGGUGAGUAACACGUGUGUAUCCUGCCCUUGACUUUGGGAUAACUUCAGGAAACUGGGGCUAAUACCGGAUAGGAUCUCCUGCAGCAUGGUGGGGGUUGGAAAGUUUCGGCGGUUGGGGAUGGACUCGCGGCUUAUCAGCUUGUUGGUGGGGUAGUGGCUUACCAAGGCUUUGACGGGUAGCCGGCCUGAGAGGGUGACCGGCCACAUUAGGACUGAGAUACGCACCAGUCUCCAACGGGAGGCAGCAGUGGGAAGUAUUGCACAAUGAGCGGACGCCUGAUACAGAGAUGCCGCGUGCGGAAUGACGGCCUUCGGGUUGAAAACAGCUUUCGCCUGUGACGAAGCGUGAGUGACGGUACUGGGUAAAGAAGCACCGGCUAACUACGUG